Molecule: ribosomal RNA, 435 nt
Filed under: uncultured bacterium
Lineage: Bacteria
Description: bacterial SSU rRNA
Rfam family: Bacterial small subunit ribosomal RNA
Source: RNAcentral
UCGAGGAUCUUCGGCAAUGGGCGCAAGCCUGACCGAGCGACGCCGCGUGUGCGAUGAAGGCCUUCGGGUUGUAAAGCACUGUCGAGGGGGAGGAAAGCCCGUAAGGGUUUGACCUAUCCCUGGAGGAAGCACGGGCUAAGUUCGUGCCAGCAGCCGCGGUAAGACGAACCGUGCAAACGUUGUUCGGAAUCACUGGGCUUAAAGGGCGCGUAGGUGGGUGGGCAAGUCUGUGGUGAAAUCCCCCGGCUUAACCGGGGAACUGCCGUGGAUACUGCCAACCUCGAGGAGGGUAGGGGCGUCUGGAACUAGCGGUGGAGCGGUGAAAUGCGUUGAUAUCGCUAGGAACUCCGGUGGCGAAGGCGAGACGCUGGACCCUUUCUGACACUGAGGCGCGAAAGCCAGGGGAGCGAACGGGAUUAGAUACCCCCGUAGUCC